UACGAAGGGGGCUAGCGUUGUUCGGAAUUACUGGGCGUAAAGCGCACGUAGGCGGAUUGCUAAGUCAGGGGUGAAAUCCCGGGGCUCAACCUCGGAACUGCCUUUGAUACUGACAAUCUCGAGUCCGGAAGAGGUGGGUGGAAUUCCUAGUGUAGAGGUGAAAUUCGUAGAUAUUAGGAAGAACACCAGUGGCGAAGGCGGCCCACUGGUCCGGUACUGACGCUGAGGUGCGAAAGCGUGGGGAGCAAACAGG
RNAcentral lists this ribosomal RNA (253 nucleotides) under uncultured bacterium. RNAcentral's name for it is "partial 16S ribosomal RNA". It matches the Rfam family "Bacterial small subunit ribosomal RNA", at positions 524 to 776 of the family's 1533-position model. The record is from RNAcentral.